AUAGUGUCUCUCGGUUCAGGCCUGCCAUGAACUAGAAACUGCUGGAACACCAGCGUCACUGUCCACAUUGAAGCAAGUUUUACAUUGUCAUGUACCGAGAGGGUGCUGACCAAGAAAG
This is a long non-coding RNA of Thalassophryne amazonica, 118 nucleotides long. RefSeq lists it as uncharacterized. The transcript is spliced from 3 exons. The record is from RefSeq and is a predicted model, not a curated record. NCBI's taxonomy places the organism in Eukaryota, Metazoa, Chordata, Actinopteri, Batrachoidiformes, Batrachoididae.